RNAcentral lists this ribosomal RNA (462 nucleotides) under uncultured bacterium. RNAcentral's name for it is "partial 16S ribosomal RNA". It matches the Rfam family "Bacterial small subunit ribosomal RNA", at positions 28 to 506 of the family's 1533-position model. The record is from RNAcentral.
GACGAACGCUGGCGGCGUGCUUAACACAUGCAAGUCGAACGGUAAGGCCCUUCGGGGUACACGAGUGGCGAACGGGUGAGUAACGCGUGAGUAACCUGCCCUUCACUCUGGGAUAACAGUUGGAAACGGCUGCUAAUACCGGAUAUUCAGCUCCUGUCGCAUGGUGGGGGUUGGAAAGUUUUGGUGGUGGAGGAUGGGCUCGCGUCCUAUCAGCUUGUUGGUGGGGUGAUGGCCUACCAAGGCGUCGACGGGUAGCCGGCCUGAGAGGGCGACCGGCCACAUUGGGACUGAGAUACGGCCCAAACUCCUACGGGGGGCAGGGGUGGGGAAUAUUGCACAAUGGGCGGAAGCCUGAUGCAGCAACGCCGGGUGCGGGAUGACGGCCUUCGGGUUGUAAACCGCUUUCAGGGGGGACGAAGCGCAAGUGACGGUACCUGCAGAAGAAGCACCGGCUAACUACGU